GAACAGCCAUCGAGCUCCAAGGACACAACGACAAAGUCCAGGCCCUCUCCUAUGCACAGCAUACACGACAGCUCAUCUCCUGUGGCGGUGAUGGUGGGAUUGUCGUCUGGAACAUGGACGUGGAGAGGCAGGAGCCUCUGUGGAGCUGCUUUGUGGUUAUGGUAAGUGCUGUGUGAUGCUCACCUUGGGAGGUCUGCGACAUAUAUUGAAGUCAUCUCUAACCUGAAGUACUGACAGACUUUUUGGAAGAAAAGGCUUGUAGGAGGAAACUUCAGAAUUCUAUUAAAUGGUGUAAAUGAUGAAAUUAUACUUGAUAUAUGCUAGAGCAUCAGUGCUGGGUAUUUUACAAGGGAUGGAGUCAUCAUUGGCUAAUGUUCCCAGUGAAGGACUGAGGG
Molecule: small RNA, 395 nt
Filed under: Pongo abelii (Sumatran orangutan)
Lineage: Eukaryota; Metazoa; Chordata; Mammalia; Primates; Hominidae
Description: processed transcript
Source: RNAcentral